UACGAAGGGGGCGAGCGUUGUUCGGAUUUACUGGGCGUAAAGGGCGCGCAGGCGGCAGAUCAAGUCAGAUGUGAAAGCCCCGGGCUUAACCUGGGAACUGCAUUUGGGACUGGUUUGCUAGAGAUCGGGAGAGGAGAGUGGAAUUCCCAGUGUAGAGGUGAAAUUCGUAGAUAUUGGGAGGAACACCAGUGGCGAAGGCGGCUCACUGGACCGGUACUGACGCUGAGGUGCGAAAGCGUGGGGAGCAAACAGG
Molecule: ribosomal RNA, 253 nt
Filed under: uncultured bacterium
Lineage: Bacteria
Description: partial 16S ribosomal RNA
Rfam family: Bacterial small subunit ribosomal RNA
Source: RNAcentral